This 74-nucleotide transfer RNA is filed under the name Pleurostomum flabellatum. Its description in RNAcentral is "tRNA-Ile". It matches the Rfam family "tRNA". From Rfam's summary of the family: Transfer RNA (tRNA) molecules are approximately 80 nucleotides in length. Their secondary structure includes four short double-helical elements and three loops (D, anti-codon, and T loops). The record is from RNAcentral. Lineage: Eukaryota; Heterolobosea; Eutetramitea; Acrasida; Tulamoebidae.
GUGCUUGUAGCUUAGAUGGUUAAAGCGUUCGCCUGAUAAGCGAAAGAUCAAUGGUUCGAAUCCAUUCAAGCGCA